UACAGAGGUCUCAAGCGUUGUUCGGAUUCAUUGGGCGUAAAGGGUGCGUAGGCGGGUCUUUAAGUCAGGGGUGAAAUCCUGGAGCUCAACUCCAGAACUGCCUUUGAUACUGAGGAUCUUGAGUUCGGGAGAGGUGAGUGGAACUGCGAGUGUAGAGGUGAAAUUCGUAGAUAUUCGCAAGAACACCAGUGGCGAAGGCGGCUCACUGGCCCGAUACUGACGCUGAGGCACGAAAGCGUGGGGAGCAAACGGG
This 253-nucleotide ribosomal RNA is filed under the name uncultured bacterium. RNAcentral's name for it is "partial 16S ribosomal RNA". It matches the Rfam family "Bacterial small subunit ribosomal RNA", at positions 524 to 776 of the family's 1533-position model. The record is from RNAcentral.